AGUGAACGCUGGCGGUAGACCUAACACAUGCAAGUCGAACGGCAGCACAGUAAUAGCUUGCUCUUACGGGUGGCGAGUGGCGGACGGGUGAGGAAUACAUCGGAAUCUACUUUUUCGUGGGGGAUAACGUAGGGAAACUUACGCUAUUACUGCAUACGACCUACGGGUGAAAGCAUGGGAUCUUCGGCUCUUGCGCGAUUGAAUGAGCCGAUGUCGGAUUAGCUAGUUGGCGGGGUAAAGGCCCACCAAGGCGACGAUCCGUAGCUGGUCUGAGAGGAUGAUCAGCCACACUGGAACUGAGACACGGUCCAGACUCCUACGGGAGGCAGCAGUGGGGAAUAUUGGACAAUGGGCGAAAGCCUGAUCCAGCCAUACCGCGUGGGUGAAGAAGGCCUUCGGGUUGUAAAGCCCUUUUGUUGGGAAAGAAAAGCAGCAGGUUAAUACCCCGCUGUUCUGACGGUACCAAAAGAAUAAGCACCGGCUAACUUCGUG
This 492-nucleotide ribosomal RNA is filed under the name uncultured bacterium. RNAcentral's name for it is "partial 16S ribosomal RNA". It matches the Rfam family "Bacterial small subunit ribosomal RNA", at positions 29 to 507 of the family's 1533-position model. The record is from RNAcentral.